AUGUUUUGUCAUGAUUAUAUGUUGCUUUGCACAAGCACGCGUGCAAAAAAUAAUCAACCCAGCGUUCAGAAUGUCAAGCAAAGUCCCGUAGCCUCGAGCUCAUCGGCAGUACCAGUACCGCUGACUGUAACUUAUAUCUUCAACAUCCAGCUCCUAGAGGGACACCAGCUGUAAGAACUCCUGUCAGCUUCAAGUCUAGAAACUUCAACAAAGGUGGACAUCUGGAGAAGCUGAAAGACAGAUCUGCAACAUAGUGAAACUGUUUUCUGCUUUCGGCAAAUGGACAGUCAGUCAGUCACAGCAGGCAAGGCUCGGCAGUUUUGAAACCCAUGUGAACAGUGUUAAGCUUCAAGGAAAAAGAUUCAAUGAACUGUAUAUCAUAUGAUUCUGUAUAAAUAUAUCCAUGCAACAAAAGUGAUUUCUGGAACUAGAAGUAAUGCUGUUGGAGAGGCAAACAAUAUGAAUAAGACAACAGAAUCUCCGUCUUGUUGAAAAAGUGAUGUUUUUCUCUAUACGAGUGAUUAUGCCAAUG
Pecten maximus is the source of this 532-nucleotide long non-coding RNA. RefSeq lists it as uncharacterized. The transcript is spliced from 3 exons. The record is from RefSeq and is a predicted model, not a curated record. NCBI's taxonomy places the organism in Eukaryota, Metazoa, Mollusca, Bivalvia, Pectinida, Pectinidae.